Molecule: ribosomal RNA, 472 nt
Filed under: uncultured bacterium
Lineage: Bacteria
Description: partial 16S ribosomal RNA
Rfam family: Bacterial small subunit ribosomal RNA
Source: RNAcentral
GACGAACGCUGGCGGCGUGCUUAACACAUGCAAGUCGAACGCUGAAGCUUGGUGCUUGCACUGGGUGGAUGAGUGGCGAACGGGUGAGUAAUACGUGAGUAACCUGCCCUUGACUCUGGGAUAAGCCUGGGAAACUGGGUCUAAUACUGGAUACGACAUGUCACCGCAUGGUGGUGUGUGGAAAGGGUUUUACUGGUUUUGGAUGGGCUCACGGCCUAUCAGCUUGUUGGUGGGGUGAUGGCUCACCAAGGCGACGACGGGUAGCCGGCCUGAGAGGGUGACCGGCCACACUGGGACUGAGACACGGCCCAGACUCCUACGGGAGGCAGCAGUGGGGAAUAUUGCACAAUGGGCGGAAGCCUGAUGCAGCGACGCCGCGUGAGGGAUGACGGCCUUCGGGUUGCAAACCUCUUUCAGCACGGAAGAAGCGAAAGUGACGGUACGUGCAGAAGAAGCGCCGGCUAACUACGUG